UACGAAGGGAGCUAGCGUUGUCCGGAAUCAUUGGGCGUAAAGAGCGUGUAGGCGGCCAGAUAAGUCCGCUGUGAAAUCUCGAGGCUCAACUUCGAGCUGUCGGUGGAAACUGUCUGGCUAGAGUCCGGAAGAGGAGAAUGGAAUUCCUGGUGUAGCGGUGAAAUGCGCAGAUAUCAGGAAGAACACCCGUGGCGAAGGCGGUUCUCUGGGACGGUACUGACGCUGAGACGCGAAAGCGUGGGGAGCGAACAGG
This 253-nucleotide ribosomal RNA is filed under the name uncultured bacterium. RNAcentral's name for it is "partial 16S ribosomal RNA". It matches the Rfam family "Bacterial small subunit ribosomal RNA", at positions 524 to 776 of the family's 1533-position model. The record is from RNAcentral.